AAGUCCCCUUCCUACCACUUAGAAUCUAUGGACUGGGAGCAGGUUAGUUAAUCUCAUGAAACCUCCAUUUCCACAUGUGUGAGGUAUGUGAUUGUUGUCUCCACCCCUAGGGUGCUGUGGGGUUUAGAAGAGAUAGUAGUGCACAUAAUGUGCUUAGCACAGGGCCAGCCCACAGUAAGUGCUGGCUGUACUCGCCUUCUCUUUGCAGGGGUGGCUCAGGAGAGGGUGUAAUCAAAAGAUGAUUAUGAGGGUUCAAGCACCAGGCAAUGGGAGAGUCAGCAGGUUUUAAUGCUUCUACACAGGGGCUGGAUUCUUCUACUUCCGCUUACCGCUGACAGCUGAGGCCUGCUACCUCAAGCCCUGAAAUGCAAUCUGAAGACUUUUCCUGGACUUACUGGGCACCAUUGGACUGUACAGGGCUGUGGCAGACAGGAGCAGUGGAAAGAGAUUUGGAUGGGACGUCAGAACACCCAGAUUUUACUUCUUGGCUCUUCCACUUAUUAGCUGUAGGAAACUGCGGUUCUGAGAUGUGCCCUGGGUCACUGCCGAGGAGCGGACGGAGCCUGGGAGGGAGGUACCCCUGCCUUGUUUCCUCACACUUUAUGGGGUGGGUGUCAGGAAUGAGGCUGGAGGGGAAGGCAAAACCAGAUCCCUAAGAGCCCCCUGGACCCUGCUUAGGGUGUUUACUUCUAUCAUAAAGGCUGUGCUUCUGUAGAGACCUAAGGUGGAGAGUGCCAAGGUCAGGUUUGCAUUUGAGAAAAAUUUUUCUGGCAGCAAUAUAAAGAAUGGUUUAGCAAAAGAAAUGAGAAUAGCUGGAAACCCAGUUAGGAGGCUGUGGUAGUCCAGGAGCACACUAAGGCAGCAACAAUAGGUGGAUGGAAACUGGAGCAUUUAGGUAAGGGAGAGGUAUGCCGGAGGAAGUGAUGGUGAGGGAGAGGGGAGAGAGUGGGACUCCACCGCACCAGGGCUUCUGGCUUUAUUGACUGGGUAUAUGGUGGCAUCUUGGGCCAAGACAGUGAGUCACAGGGAAGGGGCUUUGAGCCUGGUAAGCUUGGGGCACUUUUGAGACAUUGGGAGGAAAUGACACAUGGCAGUUGACAUACAGAUCUAGACGUCAGGAGAAAAGUCAGGGCUGGAGAUUUUCGGUUUACAGUUGAAGGUAUGAGUAGGAAUGAGAUCAUUUACUCAGUCCAUCCCACCACACUGAGCACCAUGAAUCAGGGGCUUCUCUCCCCAUGGGGCAAGAGAGGUGAAAAGACAGUCAAAGUCACUACUUUCAGGAGGAUUAGGCUCAAGUUAGGAUGGGGAGGUGGAGAAGGCAUCAAACAAAUAAAUGAAAACUAUAACUUCAGUUAUUGCCAAGUGCUAGGAAUAUAACGUUGCUGUUAAACUGCAAGGUGGCUAACAAGUUGGAUAGUCUUUCUUGAAGAACUGUAGAAACAGUCAUUAAAAAAAAUAAUUUUAUAGUUAAGCAAGAAAGUGAUUGUACUAUAACAAGGGAGACUUAUUUCACCAUAGGAAAAAAAUCAUAACAUUCUAAGAAUAGAAGGAAAAAAUAACAAUUACCCAAGCCUGCAAGAACCUGUAAGACCAGAUCAGCUUUUAAGAGGAAAGUUAAUUAGAUAACAGGAAGAGGUAAAAAUGAGUAGAUCAUCAGAGAUGGGGGAAAAGGCAAAUUUAGAAAUUCUGAAUUUAGUAGGGGAGACAAGUAUGUAGGAAUGUAAACAUAUUGCGCUUUCUCUGCAUAAACACAUUCACAUGACGAUGUAUACACAACCCUUGGAGGCACAGGUACUCAGUGAAUGCCUGCGUGCCAAGGAGGGGGACAGCACUGAGCAGGAGAGGUGGCAGGGCCUGGUGGCCCAGGAGCACUCAUAUAGUCAGGAGACUGAUAUAAAAGAGAGACCCUGCUAACAUGCCAUUACAGAGUAUGGAAUGAGCAAGGAAGGAAGAGGGUGAGGCUGUAAGAGAGUGCACAGGGCCCUCAUUUAAAUGGACGGGCCACCAGCCAGCACUUCAUGCCUGUUCCUAGAUGACCCACAAAGUGAAACGAAACUGGAUGUGGUAUUUAGCAAGUCUGAGAUUUGCUGGUUUAAGUACUAAGUUAGCAAAGCAGCCUUGGCAGCCAGAGCAGGUAGGGUAGGGGGCCAGAGGAGAUGGGUGUAUCCAGGUGGCCAAUGGAGGAAGGAGAGGAAGGUUUUCUGGGAAGCCGGCUGACAUGUCAUGCUUUGUCAGUGGGGCCUCCGCAUGGAUUCCCUCCACUCCCCCCAAACCCCCAACUCACUACGGGGAGCUGCACAAUGACAGACAAUGGGUGGUUUUGUACCCAGCAGCUACUCCUCAACCAGUGAGGAAUGGGAGAGAGAUAAGAAGGUGAGAAACAAGGAUUGCUUGUCACCAUCCCUGCUCCUCCUGAAGCCCUGCGCUGGGAGCAGGUUCAGAACCCGCUGAAGGUCACCUAAUCAUUUCACCAUGGAGUUCUUCCCCAGAUGUGAAACUGCUGGGACUGGAGCAAAGGGUGCCCAAAACUGACUGGAGGAGGAAGCCAGAGCCACACUGGAACGUAUGGAGACGCUAGCUCCUGCCUGCUAUUGAGGAUCUUCAUCUUCCCAGAAGAAUUAGAGGACCACAGGAGUGCUUGGGAAGAAGAAAUUGUGGGAACCUAGAUCGCGGCUUGAAUCAUGGGAUCUGAAAUGUGGGUUUAUGAGAGAAAAACAACAUGGAAAAAUUGGGCAGAGGCUGGUAAAUGUGAACAUUCGAACCUGCCCCCGAUCUGAGAUGGUGGGACAGUGGACCCCUGGCCAGCUCUCCAGGUGUUGCGUAUGCACAUUGGCAAACCACCUUUAUUAGGUGGUGUGACAUCUGGGUAGCAAUUCUCAACCAAUAUGAUGAUCUGAAUGUCCCUGGGCCUGACCCAGGUGAGGAGGACACAAAAUCAUGGAAUAUGUCUCAUAGAGCUUAGUCGGUUUUGGGAAAUACUGGACUAAUGUUAUGUUUUUAAAGCACCUAAU
This is a long non-coding RNA of Pongo pygmaeus (Bornean orangutan), 3011 nucleotides long. RefSeq lists it as uncharacterized. The transcript has 3 exons. Lineage: Eukaryota; Metazoa; Chordata; Mammalia; Primates; Hominidae. The record is from RefSeq and is a predicted model, not a curated record.